Molecule: ribosomal RNA, 468 nt
Filed under: uncultured bacterium
Lineage: Bacteria
Description: partial 16S ribosomal RNA
Rfam family: Bacterial small subunit ribosomal RNA
Source: RNAcentral
GACGAACGCUGGCGGCGUGCUUAACACAUGCAAGUCGAACGGAAAGGCCCUGCUUUUGUGGGGUGCUCGAGUGGCGAACGGGUGAGUAACACGUGAGUAACCUGCCCUUGACUUUGGGAUAACUUCAGGAAACUGGGCUAAUACCCGGUUAGGGGUCCUGGCGCCAGGGGGGGGGUGGGAAGGUUUCGGCGGUGGGGGAUGGAUCCGCGGCUUACCGGUUUGUUGGUGGGGAAGUGGCUUACCAAGGCUUUGAGGGGUAGCCGGCCUGAGAGGGGGACCGGCCACAUUGGGACUGAGAUACGGCCCAGACUCCUACGGGAGGCAGCAGUGGGGAAUAUUGCACAAUGGGCGGAAGCCUGAUGCAGCAACGCCGCGUGCGGGAUGACGGCCUUCGGGUUGUAAACCGCUUUCGCCUGUGACGAAGCGUGAGUGACGGUAAUGGGUAAAGAAGCACCGGCUAACUACGUG